AUAAAUGGGAAGUACAAUUGUUUAACGGUAGUAUGUUUUACUGAUUUGUUUCAGUGAUUUUAUUUCCUUUCCUCCUGAUGGUGUCUAAAAGAGUGUGACAUCUCUGCAUUUACACCUAAUUCAGACUCUUCUGACGGCACCCAUUCACUGCAGAGGAUCCAAAGGUGAGCAAGUGAUGUAAUGCUAUUUCUCCAAAUCUAAUGAACUCAUCUACAUCUUGAAUGGCCUGAGGGGUUUUUACAUUGUGAAUUCCGAGGCUGGCUGGGGGAUUGAACUUUUUCUGGGAUCUUGACCGUACCAGAAGAAGAGGAAUUAUCAGAUAACAACAAGCUUGCUGAUGACUUU
Cyprinus carpio carpio is the source of this 345-nucleotide long non-coding RNA. The record is from Ensembl. NCBI's taxonomy places the organism in Eukaryota, Metazoa, Chordata, Actinopteri, Cypriniformes, Cyprinidae.